AGUUUUCUAGCAGAAACCUUUUUGCAAUUUUCUUAUUGGGUUUUUUUUUCUUUUCACAGGCGGAUGUAGUUGAUACCUUAAAUUCAAUGGAUUUAUUUUACCCAAAUCGUUUAACAUUGAAACAAAAUGUAUCUUGUGGUACUAGUCUAUCAACUGAAGAAGUGAUUAAAGAUCUUGAUUUAUUAGAUUGGAAAGAAUGUACAUUAAGGUCUAUUGAAACCAUUAGCUCUUCUGGCUCAGUUGAAGUCACUACUAGAUUCAACUCUACUACUACUACUCCUCCUCCUUAUUACAAUCACAGAAAUCGACGUGGUCAGUUUAAUAGUGUUAAGACCAAUAAUGGUAAUGGUGGUGUUGGUGUGAAGAAAACAGGACAAAGGAGUGGAAAAAGGAAGAAGAUGUCUUUGACAGUAUUAUCUUCUGCUGCUCCUGCUGUUGCUGCUGCUCCUUCAUCUGGUUCAUCUCCUAGUACGAAUGAUAGUGGUGAUUCAUCUUAUUGGUUGUGUAAUCAAUAAUGAAAUCCACACAUUAAUUGUGGAUUUUGGAAGAGAAUAGAAACAAAUUCUUUGUUUACUUUUGAGGUUGAUGAUAUUGUUUGCUUGUUGAAUUAGAAGUUGGAAGAAGUUUGCUUGUUGAAUUAGAUAUUUAGAUCUGAGAUUAAUGGAAGAGAGAAGAUGAAGAGAGAAGAGAAGAGAGAAGAGAUAUGAGAUUAAUGGGCGGACCAUAGAUAUUUUUUAAUCCCAAGCACAUAAGACCAUAAUAAAUAACUAAAUAAGGCUAAAGACAGGGGUAAUAUAGUAAUUAACUAAUAAUUAACGAGCUGCUCGGCUCGGCUCGGGCUCGUGACGAGCUCAAAAACUGGCUCGAACUCGGCUCGUUUAGAUAAAUAAGCGAGCCGAGCCCGAGCCGCUCGGCUCAAAUUGCACCCCUAAUUCUACCUUGUAUUUUUUAUAUAAGAGAACUAGUAGCUAAGGUUUAGGUAGUUUUUUAUUGAGAGAGGAAAGUGAAUAUUUGUGAGAGAAAGUUCAUCUUCUUCUUCUUUGUAUCAACUCAAUUCAAAUUAACAUGAAUCCAUAAUUUUUCAUUAUGAUGUCUUGUGAUUUAUUUAUUUAUUCCUUGGUGUCAUCAUCAAGGAUGAGUAGCUAAAUCUCCUUAGGGGAUGGUUGAAGCACUCUAGAUAAUGCGAAAGCACCAUAUUUGUUCUUAAUGUCCAUUGUGAUUCAAAGUACUUAAUGCUUAUUUACUUCUAUCUGCAGUAGGAGGUAAGUAUGAUUAUUUGCAUGUUAUUGUUAUCCAUGUUAUUAAAAUACUAUUGUUAGGGGUUUAGGGAGACCUAGCUUUAAUGAUUUUAUUUAUAUUGAUUAAAGAUGUGUAGUGAAAUAGAUGAGAGGUGAUUAUUACAUAUCUGCAGUUGAUAUCUUUUAUUGGAACCCUUUUGUAAUUAAGUCAAAUAGUUGAGAGGUGACGGUUUGAUUAAUAAGACAUAUUCAAUAGCAUGCAUAAGAGAAUCUCGUUUUAAUUGAGUGGAAUAGCUGAGAGGUGACUACUUGAUUAUUAUAGGUAUUAAUGAUUAAUUGGAAUAGCUGAGAGGUGACUAAUUAAUUGUUAUAGAUUGAACAUGAAGGAACAACAUGUUAUUGCAUGAUUUAGUUUGUGGAUACCAUUUUCCCCCUUUGUCAUCAUAAAUCUUCUUUUCAUCUCUACCAUAUUCUUAAGUUAGUUUAUUUAAUUAUUGUCUGUAGGAAGUAUAAUCAAUCUCAAAUCUUGUUUAUCGAUUCCCUUUGUGUUUCUUAACAAUUAUUUUCUAUUGUGUUUGAGUUAAGAUCUCCCUCUCUGAGGUGGGUACGACCCUUGCUUGUUACUUGUCUAGUUUGAUAACCAAUUUAUACAGGGACAAGAAGGAACAUCAAUAAAAAUCUAAUCCUUUGAUAGGUCUCCAUGGAGACACCAAUUUUCAUCUAUCACCGGUCACUGGCAAGAAAGCCUCCAUCCUCUAUUUCAUCUUUGCUUGAGAAAGCAGAAACGUACGCUCAGGAAGAGGACGAUCUGAAAGGUAGGAGAAAGAGAUUUGUCGGAGGCCAAACCUCCGAAAAGCCACAGAAGGUAAAGGAAGAGAGCUCCGGCAGGGAUCGCUGAUCGGACCUCAAAAGUGUAUAUUUAUCCCCCGAAUAACACCUUGUUUGUCUAGCACUUAGCUUAUAUUAUUGUAUUAUAUCUAUUGAUUAGUGCAUUCUUGUCUUUAUGUAGGUUUUAUGAGUCGAAAUGCGAAUAUUGUGUAAAAGCCCGCAAAAAGUCGAGAAAAGCAAGCAAAGAGGUGUUAUUUGAUAUUUGCAGAAGGGAAAAAAGAAAGGAUAUUUGCACCCGUGAAAUCUGCUAAGGGCACCUUACGAUCAACUCUGGUCAACUAAGUUGAGUUGACUUCGGGUCAACUGUUGUUGACCUAGGUUGACUUUCGGUCAACUGUUGACUUCUUAUGACUUUGGGUAAAUCAUGUUGACUUAUGUGGACCGGACUUCCUAUUUUGGGUCUUGAUCUUAAAAAGGCUCUACAAGGAGAACCAGAAGUCCGAUUGGGGCCCAUGACAUAUCAAACUGAAGGUCUUGGCCCAAGCUACAAUUCUAGCCCAAGAGGAUUAGGUUUCGCUGAUUGCCUAAUCCCUCUAGGAGGCCAACAGCAUCAGCUACGAAUUUGAUCAAGUUUGGAAGUCUUUCCAUGCAAGUAUUCCAUUAUGUAAUGAUAUAUAAGAGAAGUUGUAACUAGGGUUUAUCUAUCUAGAAUCUCUUUUAGAUCUUGAUCUUCUAGCCUCCACUUGAAGAUCAACUUUUGUAUUCAAUUCAAUCAAUAUCAAUCCAUGAAUUCUUUUAUGAUGUUCUUUGAUUUAAUUAUUUGUUCUUUUGGUAUGAGUAGCUAAAUCAUCAUGGGGGGAAGGUGAAAGCUUUCUAGGUGAUGUAAAAGUAUUAUGUUGUUUCUUCUUAUUCAUUGUGAUUCAAGGUUCUUAAUGCUUACUUAUCUCUAAUUCGCGAUAUGAGGUGAGUAUGGUUAUUUGUAUGCUAUUGUUAUCCAUGGUGUUAAAUAUUAUUGUUAGAAUUUAGGGAGACCUAGUUUUGAUAAUAGUAUUAUAUUUAUUGUAGAUGUGUAGUGAAAUAGUUGAGAGGUGAUUACUGCAUGUUUGUAAUAUUUAUCUUUUAUUGGAACCCUCUCAUGAUUAAAUUCAAUAGCUGAGAGGUGAGGAUUUAAUUGUGAAUAAUAUAUGGAGUUAAUUAGAUUCAAUAGCUGAAAGGUGAGGAUUUGAUUAAUGAAGCAUAUUCAAUAGCAUGCAUAAUAGAAUCCCGUUUUAAUUAGAUUCAAUAGUUGAGAGGUGAGGAUUUGAUUAUUAUUGGUAUUAAUAACUAAUAAGAAUAGCUGAGAGGUGACUUGUUAGUUGUUAUAGAUUGAAUAUGAAGAACAACAUGAUAUAAUUGCAUAACCUAGAUUGUGGAAACCUACUACUCCUCCUA
Molecule: long non-coding RNA, 3497 nt
Filed under: Aquilegia coerulea
Lineage: Eukaryota; Viridiplantae; Streptophyta; Magnoliopsida; Ranunculales; Ranunculaceae
Description: long non-coding RNA (ACOE_LNC002312)
Source: RNAcentral